GAUUAGCUCAGUUGGUUCAGAGCAUCCCGAUUUUGCAUCGGGAGAGUCGGGAGUUCGAAUCUCUCAUCACCCA
RNAcentral lists this transfer RNA (73 nucleotides) under Flavobacteriales bacterium. RNAcentral's name for it is "tRNA-Gln". It matches the Rfam family "tRNA". Rfam says of the family: Transfer RNA (tRNA) molecules are approximately 80 nucleotides in length. Lineage: Bacteria; Pseudomonadati; Bacteroidota; Flavobacteriia; Flavobacteriales. The record is from RNAcentral.